GAUGAACGCUGGCGGCGUGCCUAAUACAUGCAAGUCGAGCGAACAGACGAGGAGCUUGCUCCUCUGACGUUAGCGGCGGACGGGUGAGUAACACGUGGAUAACCUACCUAUAAGACUGGGAUAACUUCGGGAAACCGGAGCUAAUACCGGAUAAUAUAUUGAACCGCAUGGUUCAAUAGUGAAAGACGGUUUUGCUGUCACUUAUAGAUGGAUCCGCGCCGCAUUAGCUAGUUGGUAAGGUAACGGCUUACCAAGGCAACGAUGCGUAGCCGACCUGAGAGGGUGAUCGGCCACACUGGAACUGAGACACGGUCCAGACUCCUACGGGAGGCAGCAGUAGGGAAUCUUCCGCAGUGGGCGAAAGCUUGACGGAGCAACGCCGCGUGAGUGAUGAAGGUCUUCGGAUCGUAAAACUCUGUUAUUAGGGAAGAACAAAUGUGUAAGUACUAUGCACGUCUUGACGGUACCUAAUCAGAAAGCCACGGCUAACUACGUG
RNAcentral lists this ribosomal RNA (496 nucleotides) under uncultured bacterium. Its description in RNAcentral is "partial 16S ribosomal RNA". It matches the Rfam family "Bacterial small subunit ribosomal RNA", at positions 28 to 507 of the family's 1533-position model. The record is from RNAcentral.